This 71-nucleotide transfer RNA is filed under the name Opitutales bacterium. RNAcentral's name for it is "tRNA-Cys". It matches the Rfam family "tRNA". From Rfam's summary of the family: Transfer RNA (tRNA) molecules are approximately 80 nucleotides in length. Their secondary structure includes four short double-helical elements and three loops (D, anti-codon, and T loops). Further hydrogen bonds mediate the characteristic L-shaped molecular structure. tRNAs have two regions of fundamental functional importance: the anti-codon, which is responsible for specific mRNA codon recognition, and the 3' end, to which the tRNAs corresponding amino acid is attached (by aminoacyl-tRNA synthetases). tRNAs cope with the degeneracy of the genetic code in two manners: having more than one tRNA (with a specific anti-codon) for a particular amino acid; and 'wobble' base-pairing, i.e. permitting non-standard base-pairing at the 3rd anti-codon position. The record is from RNAcentral. Lineage: Bacteria; Pseudomonadati; Verrucomicrobiota; Opitutia; Opitutales.
GGCGUGGUAGCCAAGUGGUAAGGCAAGGCUCUGCAAAAGCUUCAUCGUGGGUUCGAUUCCCACCCAUGCCU